Molecule: ribosomal RNA, 460 nt
Filed under: uncultured bacterium
Lineage: Bacteria
Description: partial 16S ribosomal RNA
Rfam family: Bacterial small subunit ribosomal RNA
Source: RNAcentral
CCUACGGGUGGCAGCAGUGAGGAAUAUUGGUCAAUGGCCGGAAGGCUGAACCAGCCAAGCCGCGUGAAGGACGAAGGUGCCAAGCAUUGUAAACUUCUUUUGUCAAGGGACAAAAUCAGGCUCGAGAGCCUGACCGAGGGUACUUGAAGAAAAAGCAUCGGCUAACUCCGUGCCAGCAGCCGCGGUAAUACGGAGGAUGCGAGCGUUAUCCGGAUUUAUUGGGUUUAAAGGGUGCGUAGACGGUGAUGUAAGUCUGGAGUGAAAGGCGGGGGCCCAACCCCCGGACUGCUCUGGAACCUAUGGGACUGGAGUGCAGGAGAGGUGAGCGGAAUUCCUAGUGUAGCGGUGAAAUGCGUAGAUAUUAGGAGGAACACCAGUGGCGAAGGCGGCUCACUGGACUGUAACUGACGUUGAGGCUCGAAAGCGUGGGGAGCAAACAGGAUUAGAUACCCUGGUAGUC